UGGGGAAUAUUGCACAAUGGGGGAAACCCUGAUGCAGCGACGCCGCGUGAGCGAUGAAGUAUUUCGGUAUGUAAAGCUCUAUCAGCAGGGAAGAAAAUGACGGUACCUGACUAAGAAGCACCGGCUAAAUACGUGCCAGCAGCCGCGGUAAUACGUAUGGUGCAAGCGUUAUCCGGAUUUACUGGGUGUAAAGGGAGCGUAGACGGAGAGGCAAGUCUGAUGUGAAAACCCGGGGCUCAACCCCGGGACUGCAUUGGAAACUGUUUUUCUAGAGUGUCGGAGAGGUAAGUGGAAUUCCUAGUGUAGCGGUGAAAUGCGUAGAUAUUGCGCAGAACUCCGAUUGCGAAGGCAGCGUACUGGCGCCUGACUGACGCUGAGGCACGAAAGCGUGGGGAUCGAACAGGAUUAGAUACCC
This 415-nucleotide ribosomal RNA is filed under the name uncultured bacterium. RNAcentral describes it as "bacterial SSU rRNA". It matches the Rfam family "Bacterial small subunit ribosomal RNA", at positions 355 to 787 of the family's 1533-position model. The record is from RNAcentral.